CAGAGCUUCAGACAGCAGGAAGCAAGCGACCCUGCUUUAUGUCAAACUUUGGGAUCUCGGCCAUUAUCAUAGAGUGGUGUUCCCUGGCCUGCCAUAAGCAGUUCAGAAAGACUCUUCACUGGUGCCAUGGUGUUGUCUGAAUUAAUACUGUCUGGUGCUACAGAAUUGUCCUCCCAGCACUAGAAGACAAUUACCUUUGCAAUGCUAAUAUUAUGGAAGACUAAGAAAACUUCUACAUCCUGGAACCUAGGUCUGCAAGACACUGGAAAGAAGUUGGAGGGGGUUGUAGAGAUCAGAGAAAAUGUCCAGUCUGCCAUCUUGCUGUUCAUGUGACCAAGGACCUUUCAUUCUAUUGAGAGGAUGCUACAUGAAUUCAGAUCACCCUGUGAAGUUGGUGUUAUUAUUAUCCUCAUUUUCAACUGGUGAAGAAACUGAUGACUUGCUGAGUGUCAUACAAUAUUUUGAAAACUGCUUGGAAAUAAACUGUUCAGAGAGAGAAGACAAGCGAAUGAAAACAUCUGCCACCUGUGAAGGUCCUCAUCAGUCAUUUGCAGGCCUCCAGCUGACUGUCCCUAGAUUUGAACCCAACUAGAGGGUACAUGGUUCCAGAAGUACUAAAUACUCCCAAUAUGAGGUGAAAGUCUAGGCCCUGGCCUAGAUGUUUACUCCAACAUUGACUUAAAGAGGGUGAGCUAAGCAAGUUUUGUUACUUUUUAAUCUUCCUGAGGUUAGAUAAAGGAAAUGAUCUGUGUGCUGUAAAUUUCCAUUAGCCUCAUGGAUGAAAGCACUCACCUAUUUCUCCUAUGGGAAGACAAUUGUUAGAAAAGCAAGAAAACAACAAUA
Molecule: long non-coding RNA, 843 nt
Organism: Vombatus ursinus (common wombat)
Lineage: Eukaryota; Metazoa; Chordata; Mammalia; Diprotodontia; Vombatidae
Exons: 5
Source: RefSeq, a predicted model, not a curated record